This 166-nucleotide unclassified non-coding RNA is filed under the name uncultured Annulohypoxylon. Its description in RNAcentral is "sequence contains ITS2". Lineage: Eukaryota; Fungi; Ascomycota; Sordariomycetes; Xylariales. The record is from RNAcentral.
CAACCCUUAAGCCCUUCGGCUUAGCGUUGGGAGUCCGCGUCCCCCGGCGCGGUUCCCCAAAGUCAUUGGCGGCUUCGCAGCCCACUCUGAGCGUAGUAAUCAACUGUUUCUCGCUCCUGCAGUGGCCGCGGCAGCCCGCCGUAAAACCCCCCCUAUAACUUAGUGG